This 865-nucleotide ribosomal RNA is filed under the name Lactobacillus delbrueckii subsp. bulgaricus. RNAcentral's name for it is "bacterial SSU rRNA". It matches the Rfam family "Bacterial small subunit ribosomal RNA", at positions 1 to 835 of the family's 1533-position model. Lineage: Bacteria; Bacillati; Bacillota; Bacilli; Lactobacillales; Lactobacillaceae. The record is from RNAcentral.
CAAAUUGAGAGUUUGAUCCUGGCUCAGGACGAACGCUGGCGGCGUGCCUAAUACAUGCAAGUCGAGCGAGCUGAAUUCAAAGAUUCCUUCGGGAUGAUUUGUUGGACGCUAGCGGCGGAUGGGUGAGUAACACGUGGGCAAUCUGCCCUAAAGACUGGGAUACCACUUGGAAACAGGUGCUAAUACCGGAUAACAACAUGAAUCGCAUGAUUCAAGUUUGAAAGGCGGCGCAAGCUGUCACUUUAGGAUGAGCCCGCGGCGCAUUAGCUAGUUGGUGGGGUAAAGGCCUACCAAGGCAAUGAUGCGUAGCCGAGUUGAGAGACUGAUCGGCCACAUUGGGACUGAGACACGGCCCAAACUCCUACGGGAGGCAGCAGUAGGGAAUCUUCCACAAUGGACGCAAGUCUGAUGGAGCAACGCCGCGUGAGUGAAGAAGGUCUUCGGAUCGUAAAGCUCUGUUGUUGGUGAAGAAGGAUAGAGGCAGUAACUGGUCUUUAUUUGACGGUAAUCAACCAGAAAGUCACGGCUAACUACGUGCCAGCAGCCGCGGUAAUACGUAGGUGGCAAGCGUUGUCCGGAUUUAUUGGGCGUAAAGCGAGCGCAGGCGGAAUGAUAAGUCUGAUGUGAAAGCCCACGGCUCAACCGUGGAACUGCAUCGGAAACUGUCAUUCUUGAGUGCAGAAGAGGAGAGUGGAACUCCAUGUGUAGCGGUGGAAUGCGUAGAUAUAUGGAAGAACACCAGUGGCGAAGGCGGCUCUCUGGUCUGCAACUGACGCUGAGGCUCGAAAGCAUGGGUAGCGAACAGGAUUAGAUACCCUGGUAGUCCAUGCCGUAAACGAUGAGCGCUAGGUGUUGGGGACUUUCC